Oncorhynchus mykiss (rainbow trout) is the source of this 1352-nucleotide non-coding RNA. Lineage: Eukaryota; Metazoa; Chordata; Actinopteri; Salmoniformes; Salmonidae. The record is from RefSeq and is a predicted model, not a curated record.
GCACUACAUUAGUGACAUAUUGCAUGCCAGUGGAAAUUGGUUCUGCUGUAAUGACAGCCAGGUGUCAAUGUCCAAUGAAGCCACUGUGCUGAGAACCAGAGCCCGGAGUGCCUACAUGCUCUUCUAUAUGUUCAGGGCAAUAGAGCGGGAGGCCCCAGCACACAGGGCCUAACAGGGCCACCAGCAUCAGCCCCAGACUAAACAGGGGCAGAACCUGGACCAACCUCCAAACACUCAGACCUGUCUCAACAGGGGUGGUACCAGGCCCAGCCUCAAAACCAUACAGCCCAGCCUCAACACUCACACACCUGCCUCGAAAGGGGUAGCACUUGGCCCAACAUCAACAACCCCGAGCCCAGCCACAACAGGGGCAGCACGGGGCCCAACAUCAACACACCCAGCCCAGCCUCAACAUGUGAAGAACCAGACCCAGCCCCAACACCCUCAGACCUGCCUCAACAGGUGCAGCACUAGGCCCAACAUCAACACACCCAGCCCAGCCUCAACAUGGGAAGAACCAGGCCCAGUCUCAACAUGGGAAGAACCAGGCCCAGCCUCAACAUGGGCAGAACAAGACCCAGCCCCAACACCCUCAGACCUGCCUCAACAGGUGCAGCAUUCGGCCCAACUUCAAUCAUGCUGCUCUUCAACACUAGCAUGAACAUUCUUUCAGUAGCUUAUGUCAUAAAUACCUGCCCUUGAUUUGACUACUUCACCUAAUGUAUAAAGCGUAUAAAGUAUACACACUAAAUGUAGUACACAUGUAGAUGUGGUGGAUAGAGAGUGUGAUUAUUUAGAGGGUAUAACAUCCCUUCUAUUUGGUUUGGUUUGAAAUCCUCCUGUUGUGAAAUACACUGUGGUGUCUAACCUCUUAUUCAGCAUGGUCACACCGGAAGACCUGGAAUAUUAAUAAAGACAAGCAAAUGUAAGAAAAUCCCAUUUAAGAUGAUUCUGUUGACCGUUGUAACUCUUUAACUCAGGAAGAUUUAUGGUCUGGGAUUCAGGCCGGUCCUAACAGGAAACGUGACAAAGGGAAGCAGCUGUAAUGGAGCCUUCUAACACCCAAUCAGGUCUGGAGGAGGAAUGUCACAUAAAGAUUCAGAGAUGCUAUGAGUAUAUUUUGAAGUUACUCUCCAGUUGUAUCAAUUUGAAUCAAUACAGACAUGAAAAUGCUGGGCUACGGAUGUGACCUUGGUUCUGUGAGUAGAGUAACGGGUCACCAAACAAGCUAUGGGAACUCCUUCCCUUUCAUGUGAUAUGAUUGAGAUGCUUAAUAUCAACGAUGUUUACAAUGACGCCACACCCUUACUGUACCAUUGUGACCUGUCACUAUUAAAGGCUGUGUGACGUGA